AAAGUUCAAUACUGGGAAGAAAUGGCGAAUCACUCAGACCCCAAGUCAUGCGUUGCACAUCGCGAGGUGUGGAUCGAAGCGUUGACAGGGGAAACCGGCAGGCCAGCCAUAGAGCCGCGAAAUCAUUCAAUCGGGUAUGCCCAUGACGUAGCUAUGUCAGAAGGCAAUACGGAACAUGACGUCAAUCGCAAGACAUGUUUUGAUCCCGCGCGGUCAAAGACCC
Molecule: non-coding RNA, 223 nt
Organism: Burkholderiales bacterium
Lineage: Bacteria; Pseudomonadati; Pseudomonadota; Betaproteobacteria; Burkholderiales
Source: Rfam